GGCGGGCUGUGGCCUGAGGGGCGUUGACCGGCUGAUGGGCCGGAGUGCGCCGAGCCUAGGGCCCGGGACCUGAGAUGCGGGGAGCGAUGCACGCGGGCUCCUGGCCCCUGAGCCACGCCGAGGAGUCGUCAGGAGCAUCUCGGGACGAGGAAGCCUCCAGCCUCAGCAUCGGGUGCAAGGACAACAGCCCUACAGAUUCUGCUUAACCUGCUCCUGCAAUUGCCUAAGGUCCAGACUCUGUAACAGAACACACCCAUCUAGGGAUUCUGCUUCUCUGAUGGAACCUUAGCUGAUACGCAGCAGUGGACAGCCCAGUGUUGGAAUGGAGGACGCACCUUGUCUUUCAGUUCAGCCAUCCUUACCACAAGUGCUUCCAUCCUCAGGAUCACAAGGUAUAGCCACCACACUCUGGUCACUAUUUCCUGUUCCUGGCAAAGAGGGGAAGAAGAGAAAGCCAAAAGGGGGUUUUCCUGGAAGCUCCAUGUGUAGCCCUAACCUUGGGAACGUGAAGUCCUGACAUCUAAACUACCUCUGUGCCUUCAAGGAAUAUGUGACUGAAUAGAGUAGAACAUUGGAUGUAGCAUGGAUUCCAUGUAAAUUUCAGAUGAAAUUCAGUGUCUAACAGUGAUGUGGAGGAUGACAAAUAACUUAUGCUGAGCUUUUUGUAAAGGGGAGGGUCCACUUAUAUGGGGAAAGUUUUCUGGAAGAGGUCACUUUACACUCUGAUUUCAAGGAGGUAAAGGAUGUGGCAUAGUAGAAAGGAUAGAGGGAAUUAUACAAAUAUGGUGGAGUGAGAGGU
Physeter macrocephalus (sperm whale) is the source of this 799-nucleotide long non-coding RNA. RefSeq lists it as uncharacterized. The record is from RefSeq and is a predicted model, not a curated record. The transcript has 3 exons. Lineage: Eukaryota; Metazoa; Chordata; Mammalia; Artiodactyla; Physeteridae.